AAUGGGGGGAGGCUACCAUGCAGUCGAACGGUAACAGGAAGCAGCUUGCUGCUUUGCUGACGAGUGGCGGACGGGUGAGUAAUGUCUGGGAAACUGCCUGAUGGAGGGGGAUAACUACUGGAAACGGUAGCUAAUACCGCAUAACGUCGCAAGACCAAAGAGGGGGACCUUAGGGCCUCUUGCCAUCGGAUGUGCCCAGAUGGGAUUAGCUAGUAGGUGGGGUAACGGCUCACCUAGGCGACGAUCCCUAGCUGGUCUGAGAGGAUGACCAGCCACACUGGAACUGAGACACGGUCCAGACUCCUACGGGAGGCAGCAGUGGGGAAUAUUGCACAAUGGGCGCAAGCCUGAUGCAGCCAUGCCGCGUGUAUGAAGAAGGCCUUCGGGUUGUAAAGUACUUUCAGCGGGGAGGAAGGGAGUAAAGUUAAUACCUUUGCUCAUUGACGUUACCCGCAGAAGAAGCACCGGCUAACUCCGUGCCAGCAGCCGCGGUAAUACGGAGGGUGCAAGCGUUAAUCGGAAUUACUGGGCGUAAAGCGCACGCAGGCGGUUUGUUAAGUCAGAUGUGAAAUCCCCGGGCUCAACCUGGGAACUGCAUCU
RNAcentral lists this ribosomal RNA (600 nucleotides) under Escherichia coli. RNAcentral's name for it is "bacterial SSU rRNA". It matches the Rfam family "Bacterial small subunit ribosomal RNA", at positions 35 to 628 of the family's 1533-position model. The record is from RNAcentral. Lineage: Bacteria; Pseudomonadati; Pseudomonadota; Gammaproteobacteria; Enterobacterales; Enterobacteriaceae.